This 681-nucleotide ribosomal RNA is filed under the name uncultured Escherichia sp. Its description in RNAcentral is "bacterial SSU rRNA". It matches the Rfam family "Bacterial small subunit ribosomal RNA", at positions 53 to 723 of the family's 1533-position model. Lineage: Bacteria; Pseudomonadati; Pseudomonadota; Gammaproteobacteria; Enterobacterales; Enterobacteriaceae. The record is from RNAcentral.
ACAUGCAAGUCGAACGGUAACAGGAAGCAGCUUGCUGCUUCGCUGACGAGUGGCGGACGGGUGAGUAAUGUCUGGGAAGCUGCCUGAUGGAGGGGGAUAACUACUGGAAACGGUAGCUAAUACCGCAUAAUGUCGCAAGACCAAAGAGGGGGACCUUCGGGCCUCUUGCCAUCGGAUGUGCCCAGAUGGGAUUAGCUUGUUGGUGGGGUAACGGCUCACCAAGGCGACGAUCCCUAGCUGGUCUGAGAGGAUGACCAGCCACACUGGAACUGAGACACGGUCCAGACUCCUACGGGAGGCAGCAGUGGGGAAUAUUGCACAAUGGGCGCAAGCCUGAUGCAGCCAUGCCGCGUGUAUGAAGAAGGCCUUCGGGUUGUAAAGUACUUUCAGCGGGGAGGAAGGGAGUAAAGUUAAUACCUUUGCUCAUUGACGUUACCCGCAGAAGAAGCACCGGCUAACUCCGUGCCAGCAGCCGCGGUGAUACGGAGGGUGCAAGCGUUAAUCGGAAUUACUGGGCGUAAAGCGCACGCAGGCGGUUUGUUAAGUCAGAUGUGAAAUCCCCGGGCUCAACCUGGGAACUGCAUCUGAUACUGGCAAGCUUGAGUCUCGUAGAGGGGGGUAGAAUUCCAGGUGUAGCGGUGAAAUGCGUAGAGAUCUGGAGGAAUACCGGUGGCGAAGGCG